UGGCUCAGGAUGAACGCUAGCGACAGGCUUAACACAUGCAAGUCGAGGGGCAGCACAGGUAGCAAUACUGGGUGGCGACCGGCGCACGGGUGCGUAACGCGUAUGCAACCUACCUAUAAUAGGGGGAUAGCCUUCUGAAAGGGAGAUUAAGACCGCAUAAUACAACUGAAUCGCAUGGAUUAGUUGUAAAAUAUUUAUAGAUUAUAGAUGGGCAUGCGUCUGAUUAGAUAGUUGGAGAGGUAACGGCUCACCAAGUCAACGAUCAGUAGGGGUUCUGAGAGGAAGGUCCCCCACACCGGAACUGAGACACGGUCCGGACUCCUACGGGAGGCAGCAGUGAGGAAUAUUGGUCAAUGGGCGAGAGCCUGAACCAGCCAAGUCGCGUGAAGGAAGAAGGUCUUAUGGAUUGUAAACUUCUUUUAUAGGGGAAUAAAGAUGAGUACGUGUACUCAGUUGUAGGUACCCUAAGAAUAAGGAUUGGCUAACUCCGUGCCAGCAGCCGCGGUAAUACGGAGGAUCCGAGCGUUAUCCGGAUUUAUUGGGUUUAAAGGGUGCGUAGGCGGGUUGAUAAGUCAGUGGUGAAAGGUUUGCGCUCAACGUAGACAUUGCCAUUGAAACUGUCAGUCUUGAGUACAAAUGAGGUAGGCGGAAUGUGUUGUGUAGCGGUGAAAUGCAUAGAUAUGACACAGAACACCAAUUGCGAAGGCAGCUUUGGCUCAGGAUGAACGCUAGCGACAGGCUUAACACAUGCAAGUCGAGGGGCAGCACAGGUAGCAAUACUGGGUGGCGACCGGCGCACGGGUGCGUAACGCGUAUGCAACCUACCUAUAAUAGGGGGAUAGCCUUCUGAAAGGGAGAUUAAGACCGCAUAAUACAACUGAAUCGCAUGGAUUAGUUGUAAAAUAUUUAUAGAUUAUAGAUGGGCAUGCGUCUGAUUAGAUAGUUGGAGAGGUAACGGCUCACCAAGUCAACGAUCAGUAGGGGUUCUGAGAGGAAGGUCCCCCACACCGGAACUGAGACACGGUCCGGACUCCUACGGGAGGCAGCAGUGAGGAAUAUUGGUCAAUGGGCGAGAGCCUGAACCAGCCAAGUCGCGUGAAGGAAGAAGGUCUUAUGGAUUGUAAACUUCUUUUAUAGGGGAAUAAAGAUGAGUACGUGUACUCAGUUGUAGGUACCCUAAGAAUAAGGAUUGGCUAACUCCGUGCCAGCAGCCGCGGUAAUACGGAGGAUCCGAGCGUUAUCCGGAUUUAUUGGGUUUAAAGGGUGCGUAGGCGGGUUGAUAAGUCAGUGGUGAAAGGUUUGCGCUCAACGUAGACAUUGCCAUUGAAACUGUCAGUCUUGAGUACAAAUGAGGUAGGCGGAAUGUGUUGUGUAGCGGUGAAAUGCAUAGAUAUGACACAGAACACCAAUUGCGAAGGCAGCUU
Molecule: ribosomal RNA, 1424 nt
Filed under: uncultured bacterium
Lineage: Bacteria
Description: bacterial SSU rRNA
Rfam family: Bacterial small subunit ribosomal RNA (bases 697-1424)
Source: RNAcentral